UACGGGGGGAGCAAGCGUUGUUCGGAUUUACUGGGCGUAAAGGGCGCGUAGGCGGCCACCGCAAGUCGACUGUGAAAUCUCCGGGCUUAACCCGGAAAGGUCAGCCGAUACUGCGGGGCUAGAGUGCAGAAGGGGCAACUGGAAUUCUCGGUGUAGCGGUGAAAUGCGUAGAUAUCGAGAGGAACACCUGCGGCGAAGGCGGGUUGCUGGGCUGACACUGACGCUGAGGCGCGAAAGCUAGGGGAGCGAACGGGAUUAGAAACCCUCGUAGUCC
RNAcentral lists this ribosomal RNA (274 nucleotides) under uncultured bacterium. RNAcentral describes it as "partial 16S ribosomal RNA". It matches the Rfam family "Bacterial small subunit ribosomal RNA", at positions 524 to 796 of the family's 1533-position model. The record is from RNAcentral.